GAUGAAGAACGUAGCGAAAUGCGAUAAGUAAUGUGAAUUCAGAAUUCAGUGAAUCAUCGAAUCUUUGAACGCACAUUGCGCCCCCUGGUAUUCCGGGGGGCAUGCCUGUCCGAGCGUCAUUACAACCCUCAAGCUCAGCUUGGUGUUGGGCCCCGCCGCCCCGGCGGGCCCUAAAGUCAGUGGCGGUGCCGUCCGGCUCCGAGCGUAGUAAUUCUUCUCGCUCUGGAGGUCCGGUCGUGUGCUCGCCAGCAACCCCCAAUUUUUUUCAGGUUGACCUCGGAUCAGGUAGGGAUACCCGCUGAACUUAAGCAUAUCAAUAAGCGGAGGA
Molecule: unclassified non-coding RNA, 328 nt
Filed under: soil metagenome
Description: partial contains 5.8S ribosomal RNA, internal transcribed spacer 2, and large subunit ribosomal RNA
Rfam family: 5.8S ribosomal RNA (bases 1-119)
Source: RNAcentral